UACGGGGGGGAGCAAGCGUUGUUCGGAUUUACUGGGCGUAAAGGGCGCGUAGGCGGUCACUACAAGUCAGUUGUGAAAUCUCUGGGCUUAACUCAGAACGGUCAACUGAUACUGUUGGACUAGAGUGCAGAAGGGGCAACUGGAAUUCUCGGUGUAGCGGUGAAAUGCGUAGAUAUCGAGAGGAACACCUGAGGUGAAGACGGGUUGCUGGGCUGAUACUGACGCUGAGGCGCGAAAGCUAGGGGAGCGAACGGG
This 255-nucleotide ribosomal RNA is filed under the name uncultured bacterium. RNAcentral's name for it is "partial 16S ribosomal RNA". It matches the Rfam family "Bacterial small subunit ribosomal RNA", at positions 524 to 776 of the family's 1533-position model. The record is from RNAcentral.